UCACGUCUUACGACGGCAGUUUCACUAGAGUUCCCAGCGUUACCUGAUGGCAACUAGUGAUGGGGGUUGCGCUCGUUGCGGGACUUAACCCAACAUCUCACGACACGAGCUGACGACAGCCAUGCAGCACCAGUCACCGGUCCAGCCGAACUGAAGGUAUCCAUCUCUGGAAACCGCGACCGGGAUGUCAAGGGCUGGUAAGGUUCUGCGCGUUGCUUCGAAUUAAAGAACAUGCUCCGCUGCUUGUGCGGGCCCCCGUCAAUUCUUUUGAGUUUUAGCCUUGCGGCCGUACUCCCCAGGCGGAACACUUAACGCGUUGGCUGCGGCACCGAGGGAUUCGACUCCCCCAACACCUAGUGUUCAUCGUUUACGGCAUGGACUAC
Molecule: unclassified non-coding RNA, 383 nt
Filed under: uncultured bacterium
Lineage: Bacteria
Description: contains 16S-23S intergenic spacer region
Source: RNAcentral